Molecule: long non-coding RNA, 670 nt
Filed under: Anas platyrhynchos platyrhynchos (common mallard)
Lineage: Eukaryota; Metazoa; Chordata; Aves; Anseriformes; Anatidae
Description: lncRNA (ENSAPLG00000027297.1)
Source: RNAcentral
UUUCUCUUCUCUCUUACUGCCUUGUUCAAUACUCUGCCCUUGACAGUAUUUCUUUCCAACGUCUGUUUCACUGAAUAGCCUUUAGACAGUUAUGGUACUUUUUAAAUACCAGAUUGAAAACCAACAAAGAUAACAGAUAGAAAUCAUAUAUAAUGGCAAGAGAACAGAAUUAGUGGAAGUGUUAUAACAAAAACAGUAUGUAGAAGAAAAAAUAUUAAUCAGAAUUAGUUGAAAUCUCCUGUAAUGAUAUAUAUUCAAUAUGUAACUGGUAAGAGUAUCUCUAGCCUGUAUCACUAUACAUUUGGUUCAACUGAGAAAAUCACUAUGUAAAUAGAAAGAGCACAGAAGCACUCCAAGGCCCCUAUAACAAUGGGAAAUUCUUUAUUUAAAUGAUGGAAUUAACAUCAGCCUGAGGCUUUCCUGUGAAUUUCUGAUGUAAAGCUGCAAUUUGCAUAUCUAUCUGGAAAGAGAACCCUGACAUCUAAAGCAACAGCCCCACUCUCACUUUGCCCAUCUUGGAAAACAGAGUUUUGGACUCCUCAUUAUCUAUUGCUACUUGCAAAAGAAAGCUUGGAAUCUCCGGGAACAUCAGUUCAGUGUUCUGCAACAGUCAAAAAGGCAAAAACACUAUUAAGAUGCUUUAAGGUAAAACAAAGUAAUAUAAUAAUAC